GGACAUGAAAACACAGCAGGCCCAACCUACUCAUCUGAUUGCUAUUGGGCAUCUGAAGGACCUUGCCCAGAUUAAGUGGACCGACGCUGGUGUCACCGUGGGUGCGGCAGUUACCCUCAAUGACCUUGAGAACCUGUGUCUGACCGCAAUUUCCAAACACGCAGAGCAUCCUUCUGAUCCUAAAGUGCGAGUAUUUCAUGCAUUGUUAGAGACACUACAGCGGUACGGAUCCCAGCAGAUUAGGAAUGUCGUUCGGCUUGGAGGGACCAUA
Molecule: long non-coding RNA, 271 nt
Organism: Priapulus caudatus
Lineage: Eukaryota; Metazoa; Priapulida; Priapulimorpha; Priapulimorphida; Priapulidae
Exons: 3
Source: RefSeq, a predicted model, not a curated record